UGAUAGCUGGAAAAAGUAUUU
This 21-nucleotide non-coding RNA is filed under the name Caenorhabditis elegans. The record is from RNAcentral. Lineage: Eukaryota; Metazoa; Nematoda; Chromadorea; Rhabditida; Rhabditidae.